GUAGGUGGCAAGCGUUAUCCGGAAUUAUUGGGCGUAAAGCGCGCGCAGGCGGUUUCUUAAGUCUGAUGUGAAAGCCCACGGCUCAACCGUGGAGGGUCAUUGGAAACUGGGGAACUUGAGUGCAGAAGAGAAAAGCGGAAUUCCACGUGUAGCGGUGAAAUGCGUAGAGAUGUGGAGGAACACCAGUGGCGAAGGCGGCUUUUUAGGUCUGUAACUGACGCUGAGGCGCGAAAGCGUGGGGAGCAAACAGGGAUUAGAUACCCUGGUAGUCCACGCCGUAAACGAUGAGUGCUAAGUGUUAGAGGGUUUUCCGCCCCUUUAGUGCUGCAGCUAACGCAUUAAGCACUCCGCCUGGGAGUACGGUCGCAAGACUG
This 374-nucleotide ribosomal RNA is filed under the name uncultured organism. RNAcentral describes it as "partial 16S ribosomal RNA". It matches the Rfam family "Bacterial small subunit ribosomal RNA", at positions 527 to 896 of the family's 1533-position model. The record is from RNAcentral.